GACAAUCUCAAGGCUCUGGUUCUGGUAACUCUCUCUCUCUCUCCCCCUCCCUCUCUCUCUCUCUCUCUCUCUCCAACGCAAACGCAAUUCGCAAACACAAACAAGGCCUUUGAUUGUCCGUGGACCGUCCAAGCUCCCAACUCCCAAGUGUUAAUUGACAAUUAUGGUUUCCAAAAAUGGAUUACAUUGGUUAGAGCGGUCAAAAAAAUCGUGAAUUGCGAAAUCGUAAGUGUUUUAUUGGAUUCAUGGAUUAAUAGUCUAG
RNAcentral lists this long non-coding RNA (262 nucleotides) under Actinidia chinensis (golden kiwifruit). RNAcentral describes it as "long non-coding RNA (ACHI_LNC000345)". Lineage: Eukaryota; Viridiplantae; Streptophyta; Magnoliopsida; Ericales; Actinidiaceae. The record is from RNAcentral.